CCCUUGGCUACCUUGUUACGACUUGAGUCUGAGCCAGGAUCAAACUCUAAGGGCGAAUUCUGCAGAUAUCCAUCACACUGGCGGCCGCUCGAGCAUGCAUCUAGAGGGCCCAAUUCGCCCUAUAGUGAGUCGUAUUACAAUUCACUGGCCGUCGUUUUACAACGUCGUGACUGGGAAAACCCUGGCGUUACCCAACUUAAUCGCCUUGCAGCACAUCCCCCUUUCGCCAGCUGGCGUAAUAGCGAAGAGGCCCGCACCGAUCGCCCUUCCCAACAGUUGCGCAGCCUGAAUGGCGAAUGGACGCGCCCUGUAGCGGCGCAUUAAGCGCGGCGGGUGUGGUGGUUACGCGCAGCGUGACCGCUAC
Molecule: ribosomal RNA, 364 nt
Filed under: Pseudomonas sp. BAKZL1104
Lineage: Bacteria; Pseudomonadati; Pseudomonadota; Gammaproteobacteria; Pseudomonadales; Pseudomonadaceae
Description: partial 16S ribosomal RNA
Source: RNAcentral